Molecule: non-coding RNA, 567 nt
Organism: Mustela erminea (ermine)
Lineage: Eukaryota; Metazoa; Chordata; Mammalia; Carnivora; Mustelidae
Source: the annotation of a RefSeq genome assembly
UCAUUAACUAGACAAGGUAUCAUGAGGACACCCUGGGGAACUCUGCUGGGAAUCCUGUGGCUCCAGAUUUGCUGGGUGAGAGGGAUGACAGUGGAGCAGAGCCCUUCAGCCCUGAGCCUCCAGGAGGGAGCCAGCUAUACUCUGAAGUGCAAUUUUUCUAGCAGUCCAUACAGUGUACAGUGGUUCCGACAGCACCCCGGGGGCAGCGGUCUCAUCCGGCUGUUUUACAUAGCUUCAGGGAUGCAGCACAGUGGGAGGUUAAACUGCACAGUGAAUACUAAGGAACAGUCCAGCACCCUCCACAUUACGGCUUCCCGACUGGAAGACUCAGCCACCUACCUGUGUGCAGCCCAGGCACAGUGGUCUCUGGUGAUCUGCAGCCUGCACCCAAACUGCACCUGGGCCUGCAGACCCGCCCUUCUUCGGGGCGGGCCCUUGCUCUCAUGCAGCCUUUGCCCAUUUUCAGAUUUAUGUAAAAAGCUCUACCAUGGAACUCUUGGAGUAAGUGACAGAGAUGCCCAUAUCCAGUACCAUGGGAAGAUAGAGGUCCUGGCAGCUACCACAUAA